AGAUUGGCAAACCUGUCGAAAGACAGGGACGCAAAGCUAUGGUGUCUAAACAUAAGAGAUGUAUGACAGGCCGGCUGCA
This 79-nucleotide non-coding RNA is filed under the name uncultured Blautia sp. RNAcentral describes it as "Cyclic di-GMP-I riboswitch". It matches the Rfam family "c-di-GMP-I riboswitch aptamer", at positions 12 to 83 of the family's 87-position model. From Rfam's summary of the family: GEMM was predicted in a large-scale screen for bacterial structured RNA regulatory elements. Genes associated with GEMM are involved in a diverse array of functions, including chemotaxis regulation, signal transduction, secretion and chitin. The record is from RNAcentral. Lineage: Bacteria; Bacillati; Bacillota; Clostridia; Lachnospirales; Lachnospiraceae.